Unclassified non-coding RNA from Papio anubis (olive baboon), 148 nucleotides. It matches the Rfam family "Metazoan signal recognition particle RNA". From Rfam's summary of the family: The signal recognition particle (SRP) is a universally conserved ribonucleoprotein. It is involved in the co-translational targeting of proteins to membranes. NCBI's taxonomy places the organism in Eukaryota, Metazoa, Chordata, Mammalia, Primates, Cercopithecidae. The record is from Ensembl.
GCCGGGCAUGGUGAUGCACACCUGUAAUCCCAGCUACCCAGGAGGCUGAGGCAGAAGAAUCGCUUGAGCCCAGGAGGCGGAGGUUGCAGUGAACUGAGAUUGUGCCACUACACUCCAGCCUGGGCAACAAAGUGAGACUCUGUCUCAA